GACGAACGCUGGCGGCGCGCCUAACACAUGCAAGUCGAACGAGCGAGAGAGAGCUUGCUUUCUCGAGCGAGUGGCGAACGGGUGAGUAACGCGUGAGGAACCUGCCUCAAAGAGGGGGACAACAGUUGGAAACGACUGCUAAUACCGCAUAAGCCCACGGGUCGGCAUCGACCAGAGGGAAAAGGAGCAAUCCGCUUUGGGAUGGCCUCGCGUCCGAUUAGCUAGUUGGUGAGGUAACGGCCCACCAAGGCAACGAGCGGUAGCCGGACUGAGAGGUUGCACGGCCACGUUGGGACUGAGGCCCGGCCCAGACUCCUACGGGAGGCAGCGGUAGGGAGUAUUGCGCACUGAGGGCAGCCCUGGUGCAGCGACGCCGCGUGGAGGAAGAAGGUCUUCGGAUUGUGAACUCCUGUUGUUGGGGAAGAUAAUGACGGUACCCAACAAGGAAGUGACGGCUAACUACGUG
Molecule: ribosomal RNA, 466 nt
Filed under: uncultured bacterium
Lineage: Bacteria
Description: partial 16S ribosomal RNA
Rfam family: Bacterial small subunit ribosomal RNA
Source: RNAcentral